RNAcentral lists this ribosomal RNA (449 nucleotides) under uncultured bacterium. RNAcentral's name for it is "partial 16S ribosomal RNA". It matches the Rfam family "Bacterial small subunit ribosomal RNA", at positions 29 to 523 of the family's 1533-position model. The record is from RNAcentral.
AGCGAACGCUGGCGGCAGGCUUAACACAUGCAAGUCGAACGCAUCCUUCGGGGUGAGUGGCAGACGGGUGAGUAACGCGUGGGAACAUGCCCUUUGGUUCGGAAUAACUCAGGGAAACUUGAGCUAAUACCGGAUAAGCCCUUUUGGGGAAAGAUCUAUCGCCGAAGGAUUGGCCCGCGUCCGAUUAGCUAGUUGGUGAGGUAAUGGCUCACCAAGGCGACGAUCGGUAGCUGGUCUGAGAGGAUGAUCAGCCACACUGGGACUGAGACACGGCCCAGACUCCUACGGGAGGCAGCAGUGGGGAAUAUUGGACAAUGGGGGCAACCCUGAUCCAGCCAUGCCGCGUGAGUGAUGAAGGCCCUAGGGUUGUAAAGCUCUUUCGGCGGGGACGAUAAUGACGGUACCCGCAGAAGAAGCCCCGGCUAACUUCGUGCCAGCCGCCGCCGUAA